Molecule: ribosomal RNA, 422 nt
Filed under: uncultured bacterium
Lineage: Bacteria
Description: bacterial SSU rRNA
Rfam family: Bacterial small subunit ribosomal RNA
Source: RNAcentral
UGAGGAAUAUUGGGCAAUGCCCGCAAGGGUGACCCAGCAACGCCGCGUGGAGGAUGAAUGUCGUAAGAUUGUAAACUCCUGUUAGAGGGGAAGAAUAGUACCGGUUGGACCGGUAUAUGACUGUACCCUCAGAGAAAGCCCCGGCUAACUACGUGCCAGCAGCCGCGGUAAUACGUAGGGGGCAAGCGUUGUCCGGAUUUACUGGGUGUAAAGGGCGCGCAGGCGGGAUAAAAAGUCAGUGGUGAAAUCCUACAGCUUAACUGUAGAACUGCCUUUGAGACUUUUAUUCUUGAGUUCGGGAGAGAGAGACGGAAUUCCAGGUGUAGUGGUGAAAUACGUAGAUAUCUGGAAGAACACCAGUUGCGAAGGCGGUCUCUUGGUCCGACACUGACGCUGAGGCGCGAAAGCGUGGGGAGCAAACA